CAGUGAGCUGAGAUCACACCACUGCACUCCAGCGUGAGUGAUACAGUGAGACUCCAUCUCAAACAAACAACAACAACAAAAUAAAUAAAUAUAAAGGGAGUUUUUUCCAGGGGAGGGGGCAGUGAUGGGCUAUUCUUCAGAAGCAGGAACUUCCUUCAUAUCUUAAAGCUCAUGAAUGAACAAGGGGAUCAUAAAGCAUCAGAAAUUGAAGCUUCUUAUUUUGCAGAUGAGAAAACUGGGUCUGAGAAUCCAGAUGUCCUGAGUGAGUAAAGGGAAAAUUUUCACUUCUUCCUAUGGAAGCCUGUCACCCCCCAACUCCAUCCUAGGCUGAGGAAGUCUGCGUUCUUCUCUCACGGAGCUGGAGAACCUUUCAAGUGAUUGGCCUAAGAACAGGCAGGAGACGCGAUCUGGACCAAUCAGAAACUUACAUUGAGAUGGUGGGCCUUGCUAUGUUGCUCAGGCUGGUCUUGAACUCCUGACCUCAAGUGAUCCUCCUGCCUCAGCCUCCUUGAGUAACUGGAAUUACAGGUGUGUGCCAACUUGCCUGACUAAAAUGUUUAAUUUUUAUAAAUCUAAUCGUUAAACAUGACUAUAUAGCCAGCCUUAAUUCUAAGUGCCAAUAUUACAUAAAACGUAGUAAACUUUCGACUUAAAAUUGUAAGUCUAGGCUGGGUAUGGUGGCUCACGUGUGUAAUCCUAACACUUUUGGUGACGAGAAGGGAUGAUCUCUUGAGCCCAGGAGUUUGAAACCAGUCUGGGUAACAUAGAAAAACUCCCAUUUCUAAAAAAAAUUUAUAAAGUAGCCAACAGUGGUAGUGUGUGCCUGCAGUCCCAGCUACCAGGAGGCUGAGGUGGGAGGAUGGUUUGAGCCCAGGAGUUUGCGGCUGCAGUGAGCUAUGAUCGUGCCACUGCACUCAGACCGGAGUGAGACCCUGUCUCUACUGAAAAAAACCCACAGAAACCCAAAUAUAUAUAUAUAUUUAUAUAAAAAAGAUUUCAACAUAUGAAUUUUUGGGGGGAACAAAUAGUCCAUAACAAAUAUUAUAAGUACUAUAUUAUUAAUACUUCCAGAUUCCUUAAUAUCAAGAUAUUAGUAGUACAAGUUUCACUCUCUUAAAAAUUUCUUUCUUUCUUUCUUUCUUUCUUUCUUUCUUUCUUUCUUUUUUGAGAUAGGGUCUUGCUCUGUUGCCCAGGCUAGAGUACAGUGGCACAGUCUUGG
This 1219-nucleotide long non-coding RNA is filed under the name Homo sapiens (human). RNAcentral's name for it is "HSALNT0159810". Lineage: Eukaryota; Metazoa; Chordata; Mammalia; Primates; Hominidae. The record is from RNAcentral.